Molecule: long non-coding RNA, 646 nt
Organism: Oncorhynchus keta (chum salmon)
Lineage: Eukaryota; Metazoa; Chordata; Actinopteri; Salmoniformes; Salmonidae
Exons: 3
Source: RefSeq, a predicted model, not a curated record
AUAUGGCCAGAAUAGGUGUGGUAUAUGGCCAGAAUAGGUGUGGUAUAUGGCCAGAAUAGGUGUGGUAUAUGGCCAGAAUAGGUGUGGUAUAUGGCCAGAAUAGGUGUGGUAUAUGGCCAGAAUAGGUGUGGUAUAUGGCCAGAAUAGGUGUGGUAUAUGGCCAGAAUAGGUGUGGUAUAUGGCCAGAAUAGGUGUGGUAUAUGGCCAGAAUAGGUGUGGUAUAUGGCCAGAAUAGGUGUGGUAUAUGGCCAGAAUAGGUGUGGUAUAUGGCCAGAAUAGGUGUGGUAUAUGGCCAGAAUAGGUGUGGUAUAUGGCCAGAAUAGGUGUGGUAUAUGGCCAGAAUAGGUGUGGUAUAUGGCCAGAAUAGGUGUGGUAUAUGGCCAGAAUAGGUGUGGUAUAUGGCCAGAAUAGGUGUGGUAUAUGGCCAGAAUAGGUGUGGUAUAUGGCCAGAAUAGGUGUGGUAUAUGGCCAGAAUAGGUGUGGUAUAUGGCCAGAAUAGGUGUGGUAUAUGGCCAGAAUAGGUGUGGUAUAUGGCCAGAAUAGGUGUGGUAUAUGGCCAGAAUAGGUGUGGUAUAUGGCCAGAAUAGGUGUGGUAUAUGGCCAGAAUAGGUGUGGUAUAUGGCCAGAAUAGGUGUGGUAUAUGGCC